Molecule: long non-coding RNA, 2505 nt
Filed under: Homo sapiens (human)
Lineage: Eukaryota; Metazoa; Chordata; Mammalia; Primates; Hominidae
Description: mitosis associated long intergenic non-coding RNA 1
Source: RNAcentral
AGAGGAGGGGUUGGCAGUGAAGCCUGGGUUAUAGAACUCUCCUUCCUCUCCCUCCUUCCAGGGUUGCCGUGCAGGGAGUGUCAGCCACGUCUAGCGCACAGUCCCAGGCCCCAGGGCGAAGGCGGCCAGGGGAAAUGGGGCUCAGGGAUUGCUAAGCAAACGCAUCACUGGUGGUCUCCAGCGCCUGCGGAGUAUCUUUUGCUGCCUCUUACGUAUUGUAGGCAGUGCCUGAUGGCUGAGAAGAAUCGCAGAGGACUAGAAAAGGUUUGAGUCUGAAAUUAUCUGGCACAGAGGAUUAAAGCUCAGAAAUAAGUGAUUGCGAAACAGUUCAACUUCCCUGUUAAUGACAACAACAACAGCAACACGCUUAUUAAUUCCUAGCUGGAGCAUCAAGCUUAUGAAGAUUUCCAAGACUUUAUUGUUGACCCUUGUUGAAGAGAACUCUACUUGGCUUCUUUCCUGGCUUUCCUAAAUUGUUCACAUACAAGAUAAACUACCGUCAUUCAGACUUACAGAAGUGAGAAGACAAGCUGAACCAAAUGUAAAAUGGUAGCAAUUUACAGAUGUCAGAACUAACAUGUGGAUGAACUUAGAGAUGGAGAAGAAAGCUGGGCUUUUCCAAAGAGUGGAUCUAUCUGAACUGGAUAGCACUAUUGAACUUUGUUGCAUAUUUUGUGGUAGCUCUAAAACUCCUCUGCUUGCUUACAUACAACCAGACACCAGUGCCUUCUGAAGCUAAUCCAGGCCAUUUUUAUAACCUAAUGCAGUAGCACUUUGCAAUUAGAUGAAGAAGAUCGGUGGGAUUUCUUUCUGUGGUGAUUAAAAUGUGUCAGGGGAAGAAAUCAAGACAAUACUCCAAGUGAAAAAUAUAAAGUCAGUUAUUUCUUUAAUAUUUUGUGUUAUAGUAAUCAUUUUUAUAUUUUGAGCAUACUUUUUCUUGUCUACUUAAAUACUCAAAAUUAAUUAUAAAAUGUAAAUGUAAGCACAAUGAGAUACCAUCUCAUCCCAGUUAAAAUGGCUUUUAUCAAAAAGAUAGGGAAUAAUGAAUACUGGUGGAAGGAUGUGGAGAAUGGGGAACCCUCGUACACUGUCAAUGAGAAUGUAAAUUAGUACAGCCACUAUGGAAAACUGUAUGGAAGUGCCUCCGAAAACAAAGUAGAACUACCAUGUGAUCCAGCAAUUACACUAGUGGGUAUAUAUUCAAAAGAAAGGAAAUCAACAUAUUAAAGAGAUAGCUGCAUUCUCAUGUUUAUUGAAGUCCUGUUGAAAUAGCCAAAAUAUGGAAUCAACCUAAGUGCCCAUCAGUGGAUGAAUGGUUAAAGAAAAUGUGAUUGAUAUGCAAUGGAAUAUUAUUCAGCCAUAAAAAAGAAUGAAAUCCUGGCGGGGCACAGUGGCUCAUGCAAGUAAUCCCAGCACUGACCUCAUGAAGACAGAGAGUAGAUUGGUGGUUACCAGAGGUUGAGAAGGGGAGAGGAGAGGAGGGAUGAAGAGAGGUUGAUUGAUGGAUAGAAAUAUACAGUUUGAUAAUGAUAAAUCAGUAGGGUGACUAUAGUUUAUAAUAACCUAUUGUAUGGUUCAAAAUAGCUAAAAGAGAAUAAUUGAAAUAACGUAAGACAAAAAUUUAAGAUGAUAGAUAUCCCAAUUACACUGAUUUGAUCUUUACAAAUUAUAUGAAUGUAUUAAAUUAUUACAUGUAUCCCCAAAAUAUGUACAAGUAUUUUGUAUCAAUAAAAAAUAAAAUUUAAGAUAAAGUAAAUGUAAUGAUUAGCUUAUAUUUCCUAGAUCGGAAAUAAAUAUUUACUUAAGUAUGUUUAUGAUGAAGAGUUUUUUUAUAUUACUAUAAAAAUAGACACCUUACAUAAACAUAUUACAGUUGGUGUUUAGAUGGCUCUUUUUUUUCUGGCCUUGAAUUUCUGGAAAGUAGGUAUGGCCUGCUAUGUCAGGACUAGUUCUUGGAAUUCUUUGUUGUUUUUCAGUCAGCCUUAUUUUCUUGGGUCAUGUUUUGAACAAUAUUUAUCAAAUGUCUGUUUACCAGACGUUGUUCCAGAUGCUUGAACAAAAUGAAAUGUCUGCUGUCAUAGAGUUUCCAGUCUAUGUAAGACAGUAAACAAAUGUAUAAUAUAAUGCUAGAUAGUGAUAAGUGCUAAAAAGAAGAAGAAAAUAGGAAAGGGGAAAGAGAGUUUCUGUGUGAUUGUAUGUGAAAGUGUCCAUGCAUGCCGCUCACCCAGUAUUUUAAAUAGAGUGAUCAAGGAAGCCUGUCUGAAGAAGUAACAUUUGAACAGAGAUCUGAAAUAGUCAGUCACGGGAACAUUUAGGGAGAUGUUCCAGGCAGGCAUUGUGGACAAUUUAUGUCACAAAAAAGUCACCCAAGUGUUAAGUCAAGUAACAUCCUGUAUGAUAACUAUAUAUACAUUUUUUUGUUUUUUCUUAAGUGAAAAACAAACUUAUUAGGUUUUCUGGGUACUCAUUAGGUUUUCAGAAAAGUUUUUCAUUUAAUAUCAUUAU